GUAAAAAACACAACUCAUUAAUACAACACGCUAAAAGGGAUAAAACGACUACCAUAUGAAAUUAUACUGUAAUUUAUGUUUUGUCUUAUGUGGCGAAUCAAUAUAUAAAUUAGGAAACAAUUAGCAAUGUUAUGGACUUCUUCUUCUUCUUCUGGGGUGUUUAAGGGGGCUAGUUAGGCUGUGUAUCUAUUUUCUGUCUAUCAUGAUUUAUAAGUCCCUCGUAGCCCUGCAGCAGCCCGCCUCGAUCUCUACCGCCGCCACCACAACGCAAUACAACCCUUCGCUGCCUUUAUCACGCUCCUUAUCGAUCCCUGCACUCCCUCACGCCGACAAUACAAGGGCAAUGCACCGUGCUAGUUCAUCCCCAUGCUCGCAACACAACCACACUAUCCCCCUCUAAUACAAACUAUAUUAUAUUAUCCAUUUAUCAGAGUCCCGCGUCUCAGGGUGUGGCAUAAAGAAAUUUGUGGUUUCUUAUCUUGAUUUUCAUUCAAAGUAACUGGAGGGAAUAGGGAGGAUCGAGGAGGGUAAAGCAGAUUGCCCUUCUCCCCCGCUCUCUUGCCCUUACGCUAAAGUUUAGGAGCGACGUGAAGAAGGUUGAGGAAGCAGGAGAAGGAUCGAGGAGGAGGAACACAGAAGGGAGUAAGACGGGAAAGGAGAAGGAUCAAAAGGGAGUUAAGACAGGGAGAAGGAUAACAUGAGGGAGUUGAGACGGAAAGGAAAUAAUAUAAUGGAUUUAAGACAGGAAGGAGGAGCAGAAGGGAGUUUAAAAGGAAUCGGAGGAGGAGGAAUAGAAGGAAAUUAAGACGGGAAGGAGGAGGACCAGAUAGGAAUCAAAACAGGAAGGAACAGGAACAGAAAGGAAUUAAAAGAGGAAGGAGGAACAGAAGAGAGCUAAAACAGAAAGGAGGAGGAACAGAAGAGAGCUAAUAAAACAGGAAGGAGGAGGAACAGAAGAGAGCUAAUAAAACAGGAAGGAGGAGGAACAGAAGAGAGCUAAUAAAACAGGAAGGAGGAGGAACAGAAGAGAGCUAAUAAAACAGGAAGGAGGAGGAACAGAAGAGAGCUAAUAAAACAGGAAGGAGGAGGAACAGAAGAGAGCUAAUAAAACAGGAAGGAGGAGGAACAGAAGAGAGCUAAAACAGGAAGGAGGAGGAACAGAAGAGAGCUAAAACAGGAAGGAGGAGGAACAGAAAAGAGCUAAAACAGGAAGGAGGAGGAACAGAAAAGAGCUAAAACAGGAAGGAGGAGGAACAGAAGAGAGCUAAAACAGCAAGGAGGAGGAACAGAAGAGAGAAAAGAUGGGAUGAAGAAAGAAUCGCCUGAGGAGGAGGAAGGUGAAAGGAAGGAGGGAGGGUCUCUUGGACGUAUAAAAGAGGGGAGGCAAGACAAGACACUUUCGUUCUUUCACGGUCUUGGACAGGUUCUGAACGCGAUACGCUAUAGCUGUUCACAUAAGCAACUUCACUGGGGCUUGCUUUUUAUCGUGUGUGUGUGUGUGUGUGUGUGUGUGUGUGUGUGUGUGCCCUCCCUCAGCCGAUGACCCUGACAAAUAAAAAAAAUAAAAAAUAUAUAUAUACGAAAAUCCACAGCCAAAAAUGAAGUCAAAUCUAUCAAGAGUUCGGGAGUGAGAUAGAAAAAGAAAGAAUAAGUGAUAAAGCGUAAAAACAGGAAUAAAAAAAAAAUAGAAUAGAAUGGAAAACGAGGGUGAAAAAAAGUUAUUUGCAACAAGAAGGAGACAUUAAAAAAUUGAUAAAGCCAAAGCUGUUAAGAUUUACAUAGAUUUACAUAGAAAAGGAAAGAAUAAGUCAUAAAGCAACGAGAAGAAAAAGAAACGAGAACAAGAUUGGAAAAUGAGUGAAAAGAGAUCAUAUGUAACAAAAAUAAAACAUUAAAAAAUACAUUAAGCCAAACCUACCAAGAGUUCAGGAGUGAGUUAGAGAAGGAAAGAAUAAGUGUUUGAGAGUCAGAAAAAAAAAAAAAGCACAAGAAGAGAGACAGUGAAAAGAGAUCAUAUGUUACAGGAACAAAUGGAGAAAGUGAUAAUGAAGACUGGGGAUCGAGAAGAAAGUGAAAAUAGAAGAGCGAGAGGCGGAGAGAAAAGUAGGGAAGGUGACAAGUGUUUUGCCUCCCCAAUGAUCUGAGAGAGAGAGAGAGAGAGAGAGAGAGAGAGAGAGAGAGAGAGAGAGAGAGAGUUAAUUAUGACUUUCUAAUACUGCAUGUGAUAUUCUGUUCAUAGAUUUGUGCAGGUGCGCUGAGUGAGAUAAGCGAAAACAGACAAAAAUCAAACUUCAGUAAAACAAUAAUAAAGGUGAAGUAAACAAGUAAGCAGUAAUGAAAUAAUAAUGAAAGAGACAAUCAAUAACAAAAAGAAUCAAAGAGAAACAUGUAGUGGAAACGAGAAACAGUGUAAAGGAAAUAAUGACAUUCAAGUGGAUGAAAAAAAAAUAAUGUCAUCAUGAAGUUGUGCAAUUGAAAACUUAAAAGUAUAAGAAAAGAAAUAAGACGCGGAGGAAAUUAACAAAAUAUAAGGUAAACUAUGAAAGGAAUAAGUGAAACAAAGUGAGAUUAUAAGAGAUAUAACCAAAGGAAUAAAGUAAAGUAAAAAUAUAUGAAGAGAACAGGGAGGAGAAAAAUGUAAGAGGAAAAUCUAAGAAGAGAACAGAGGGAAGAACAAUAUCACCGGGACUAAAAUUACUGAUACCACACCGUAAAAAUAAAAAUAAAAAUACACUACAAUACAAUGCAACAAUGAAAAAACAAACUACAUCCUGAGCCCCAACAAUAAAAAAGUGUAUCAAGAACAAGAACAAGAUCCAGACGCAGCUUCCCUUCUUUCCUUCCUCCCUCCCUCCUCUCCUCCUCUCGUUCUCCUUUCUUCACAGGAGUGGUGAGUGUACGUGUGGUGAGGAUGAGAGCGGUUGUGGUAAUGGUGACGGUGGUGGUGGUGAUGAAGAUGGUGGUGCCCCUCGCGGCCGCCAACCCCGCCCUCCUCUUCUUCCUGCCCUCCUCCUGCUGCAAGAGUGGCUUCUUCCUCUGCUGCUCCUUAUUCUCACGCCCAGUGUCGUAUAGGCCGUGGCCGCUGCUGACCAACGAGGGCCUCACGCCGGAGCAGCUGCAGGACCUACAGGUGGAGCGACGCAAGCGGCGGGAGCGGUACAGGGACAGGGAGUUCAACAGGGACACGAGGAGGGGCAGAACAUGAC
Eriocheir sinensis (Chinese mitten crab) is the source of this 3206-nucleotide long non-coding RNA. RefSeq lists it as uncharacterized. Lineage: Eukaryota; Metazoa; Arthropoda; Malacostraca; Decapoda; Varunidae. The transcript is spliced from 3 exons. The record is from RefSeq and is a predicted model, not a curated record.